UAUUAAUGCCCAAUCCAAGUCAUUCACUUGA
Molecule: non-coding RNA, 31 nt
Filed under: Mus musculus (house mouse)
Lineage: Eukaryota; Metazoa; Chordata; Mammalia; Rodentia; Muridae
Source: RNAcentral